UACGGGGGGGGCAAGCGUUGUUCGGAAUUACUGGGCGUAAAGGGCUCGUAGGCGGCCAACUAAGUCAGACGUGAAAUCCCUCGGCUUAACCGGGGAACUGCAUCUGAUACUGGAUGGCUUGAGUUCGGGAGAGGGAUGUGGAAUUCCAGGUGUAGCGGUGAAAUGCGUAGAUAUCCGGAGGAACACCGGUGGCGAAGGCGGCUUCCUGGACCGACACUGACGCUGAGGCGCGAAAGCCAGGGGAGCAAACGGG
Molecule: ribosomal RNA, 253 nt
Filed under: uncultured bacterium
Lineage: Bacteria
Description: partial 16S ribosomal RNA
Rfam family: Bacterial small subunit ribosomal RNA
Source: RNAcentral